RNAcentral lists this ribosomal RNA (474 nucleotides) under uncultured bacterium. RNAcentral's name for it is "partial 16S ribosomal RNA". It matches the Rfam family "Bacterial small subunit ribosomal RNA", at positions 28 to 507 of the family's 1533-position model. The record is from RNAcentral.
GACGAACGCUGGCGGCGUGCUUAACACAUGCAAGUCGAGCGGUAAGGCUCCUUCGGGAGUACACGAGCGGCGAACGGGUGAGUAACACGUGAGUAAUCUGCCCUUCACUUCGGGAUAACCACCGGAAACGGUGGCUAAUACCGAAUACGACCAGUCUUCGCAUGAGGUGCUGGUGGAAAGUCUUUUCGGUGAAGGAUGUGCUCGCGGCCUAUCAGCUUGUUGGUGGGGUAAUGGCCUACCAAGGCUUCGACGGGUAGCCGGCCUGAGAGGGUGACCGGCCACACUGGGACUGAGACACGGCCCAGACUCCUACGGGAGGCAGCAGUGGGGAAUAUUGGACAAUGGGCGAAAGCCUGAUCCAGCAACGCCGCGUGAGGGAUGACGGCCUUCGGGUUGUAAACCUCUUUCAGUACCGACGAAGCGCCCUGUCGGGUGGUGACGGUAGGUACAGAAGAAGGACCGGCAAACUACGUG